UACAGAGGUCCCAAGCGUUGUUCGGAUUCAUUGGGCGUAAAGAGCGUGUAGGCGGUUCGAUAAGUCGGCUGGGAAAGUCCAGGGCUCAACCCUGGGAUGCCGGUCGAAACUGUCGGACUAGAGUUCGGAAGAGGCGAGUGGAAUUCCCGGUGUAGCGGUGAAAUGCGCAGAUAUCGGGAGGAACACCAAUGGCGAAGGCAGCUCGCUGGGACGUUACUGACGCUGAGACGCGAAAGCGUGGGGAGCAAACAGG
Molecule: ribosomal RNA, 253 nt
Filed under: uncultured bacterium
Lineage: Bacteria
Description: partial 16S ribosomal RNA
Rfam family: Bacterial small subunit ribosomal RNA
Source: RNAcentral